CACUAGAAAAUAUAUCUUCUAGCAGUUUCUGCCCUAUGGGUUCUAAAUGGCCGCAGUAUCUUGACUGUGCUAAGGUAGCAUAAUCAUUAGCUUUUUAAUUGUAAGCCAGUAUAAAUGAAUUGACGAGGAGACUACUGUCUCUUAUCUAACUAUAAAUUUUAUAUAAAAGUAAAAAAGCUUUUAAAAUCUAAAGGGACGACAAGACCCUAGAACCUUUCUUUUAACUCUAUAUUAUUGAAAACCCUAAAUGGUUAUUUAGAAUUACUGGGGCGGUAAAAUUUAUAACAAAUUAAACACACAUGUAAUGAACAAAUUCUAAAACCCUGUCGAUAAUAAUCAGGUACUCUAGGGAUAACAGCACGAUUUACUUCUAGAGACCUUAUCGACAAGUAACUUGUGACCUCGAUGUUGAAUUGAAUUACUGAUUUAAGCAGCUUUAAAUUGAGAAGGUCUGUUCGACCUUUAAGUUUUCA
RNAcentral lists this ribosomal RNA (473 nucleotides) under Haplophthalmus danicus. RNAcentral's name for it is "partial 16S ribosomal RNA". It matches the Rfam family "Archaeal large subunit ribosomal RNA", at positions 1924 to 2669 of the family's 2987-position model. The record is from RNAcentral. Lineage: Eukaryota; Metazoa; Arthropoda; Malacostraca; Isopoda; Trichoniscidae.